CAGCUACUCUUCCGUUCGGAAUUACUUGUCGCAGAAAUAGAUGUAUCUAGACAUAUUUUAGUUCUAGAUACAUCCAUUUUUAAGACAAGUAAUUCCGAACGGAGAGAGUAGCUA
Non-coding RNA from Triticum aestivum (bread wheat), 114 nucleotides. Lineage: Eukaryota; Viridiplantae; Streptophyta; Magnoliopsida; Poales; Poaceae. The record is from Rfam.